This is a long non-coding RNA of Brassica rapa (field mustard), 1805 nucleotides long. RefSeq lists it as uncharacterized. The record is from RefSeq and is a predicted model, not a curated record. NCBI's taxonomy places the organism in Eukaryota, Viridiplantae, Streptophyta, Magnoliopsida, Brassicales, Brassicaceae.
UCAGAUAUGAAAAAUAAAUCUCUCACUAAUAAUAUAUUAUCAUAUAUCUUAAUAUUAUUAGAUAUUGUAAUUAAUUAAGUUUUGAUUUUUUAGUAAUAAUUAAUAAUUAAGUUAUUUAUAAAUUGACAUAUGGAAGAAGAGUAUCUCAUAAUUAAACAUCUCAUGAAUUUCAUUUGAUUUUUUUUUUUCAAAACUAAAAAACUAUUUUAUUGAAAUUACGUACUCUUAAAUCGCAAAAAAAGAGAUUUUCUUAACGCGGUGGUCAUUUUUAUUUGUUCUCGUCAACAUCGCGGUGGUAAAAAUGGUCGUGGCUGGUGGCUGACGAUAGUUGCAUUCCGUGGUUGGUGAGACUGUGAGAUUUUUUUUUUUUUUUUGGGAUUAAAGAGUAUUUUUUUGGAGUAAAGCGUUUCAUUGUGAUGGGAGUAGGUGUAUAAUGUAUGAACGUAAUUGACUCAAUUAACGUCCCCACCAUAACACUCUUUCAUUUCUUUUAUAUUUUCUAUAAUGUUUUUGAAAUUUUGGAUAUUGUUUCAGUUUAAUAAGACAUUUCAAAGGGUUUUGUUUUCAUUUCAAUUAUCCUGUUGUGUUUUUUUUGUAUUCUUUUAUUAUAUGUUUUGUUUUACUAAUUUUUAUAAACAUGUGUAUUUUCUAUUUUGUUUCAACUAACGAAUCACCCAAAUGUGUAAUGGCAUUUUUCAACUUUGUUUCGUUUGUUUUGAGUGACAGUACAUGCACUUACAUUCAAAAUCCAACGAGACAAAUAAAACUUAAAGUUUUGUCACUUGUUUAAAUGCAUCUACACACCAAUCAUUAGGAGUCGACUGACGCAACACGCCGUUUGCAUGACAAAAGCAAUUGCUUUGUGUAAACACAGCCUCCAUUAUAUUUCGUUUGUUACCCUAAUGUCAAGUAAUUAAAAUAUAUCAACAAGAAUAUUAUAAUGAAUUUCUUUGUAAUUAUCAUAUUGUUUAGAAAGUUCAAAUUUUGCGCUAUCAUCAUCACGAGAGUUUUUCUAAUGGUCGUGAUUUUUUUUAGUUUAUAGAUCCUUAUCAAACCAAGCAUGAAUACACAUGAUUAAAUGUGUAGACUUGUAGUCGUACAAAAUCUUAAUUUUAAUGUAAAUUAAUAAUACCCGUAGAUAGGAGUGUCUUGCAUUUUUCAGGGGGUAUGAUAAAAGAUAAUAAAUGUAUCCGUCUAUUUGCUAAUAUAUAUAAAUUCAUUAUCAAUCUCUUUAUUUGGUUUAUUUUAUGAAUUAUUACUAAUCGAAAGCUAAAAUUAAAAUAGUAAUGGACGGACAAAAAGAAAAAAAAAACAAAUAAAUGGUAGAGAUGAUAUGGGUGGAAGAAUUGGUGGGUUGGUAUGGCAAGGCGCCUUAACUAAAACACCUGCAUGUGCAUGCAUUUUUUACUUCCAUUCUUAGCAUCCGAAAGUCUCCAUUUUAUUAAUACACAAAUAUCUUUACUUUUAGGUUAAUUUCGUUUAGAAGUUAUUUUAUUUUAUUAAUUUAACUAUCUAGGCAGUCUACCAAAUUAGCAGUAACGUUAAUUUGUUUGAAAUAAAUGUUUAUUGGACACCUAAAAAUAUUUUGUUGGCGUUAGAAAUAUAUCUCGUUUUCAGCUGUUGUGACUAUUUAGGAUAAGGUCCAAACGACGCAGGUGGAUGUCGGCCAAUGUGAAAGGAAACUUAUGCAAAUAUCCGAUUUUCGUUUAGUCGAUUGAUCGGUUUACUCUUUCUCUCUUUCUUACUCUUUUUAUACUCCUGCAAUUUAGUUAUCUCCAACUCUUUGUAAACAAUACACUUUUAUU